Molecule: long non-coding RNA, 1254 nt
Organism: Mobula hypostoma (lesser devil ray)
Lineage: Eukaryota; Metazoa; Chordata; Chondrichthyes; Myliobatiformes; Myliobatidae
Exons: 3
Source: RefSeq, a predicted model, not a curated record
GAAUUGGUUUAUGAUGGUGGUGGGAAUUGAAGGUGACUGGGGGGGGUAGUGAGAAGUGUGUGUGGAAGGGAGAAAUGGAGGGUAGGCAUUGGAUGUCCAGCUUUAAGUCACUGCAUUAAGUGGAAGGAACUUACUAACCAUCCCCAUCUCCCCCUCAACUCUCACCUUACAAAAUCAUGAGGGGCAUAUUUAGGGUGAAUGUGCACAAUCUUUUUCCCAGCGUUAGUGAAUCAAGAACCAGAGGACAUAGAUUUGAAAUGAGAGGAGAGAGAUUUAAUAUGAGACUGAGGAGCAACUUUUUCACCCAGAGGAUGGGAUGCAUGUCAGCCAGACAAUCUACUCCAGCACAGCUCCAUGGUUCUCAGUAACAGGCCUGUAAUUUGGUUACGAUGGCAAAGAUGUCACCUACUUGGAUUUCUCUGCGAGGAAAUUUGUGGUUGGUAUUCCAUUGUUGGAAGCUCUCCUCAGUGGCCUGAACCACCACAGCUCCUGCACUGACGUUAAAGUCGACUGUACCGGGCAGUUUGUCCCUAUAAUUGCAGAGAAUGAAAAUGGAAUGUUCUGACCCUGAAUGGACAGACUCGUGAUUGCAUCAUCAGGUUCCUCCCUGGUGCUCAAGAAGCCAUUGGUGGCCACUGGAAGAGGAAAGUUUGCCUUGUGUUCAUGAUGGAGCUGACUGAGUCUACAACCCUCUGCAGGUUCUUUCAGUCCUGAGCAUUGGAGCCAUAACCAGUCAGAAUGCUCUCCACAAUACACUUGCAGAAAUUUGCUAGAGUCUUUGGAACAUUCAAAACUCCUCGAAUUCUCUUGGGGUAUAGGCACUGGCAUGUUGGGCUCAGGACAGAUCCUCUGAGAUGCUGGCUCCCAGGAACUUGAAGCUGCUCACCUUUUCCACAGCUGACCCUCCAUUGAGGACUGAUGUAUGUUUUCUUCGACAUCAUAAGUUAUAGGAGUAGAAUGAGGCUCAAUUCUUCUCUACCAUUUCAUCACUGAUUUAUUAUCCCUCUCAACCUAUUCUCCUCGUAACCUUUGAUGCCCUUACUAAUCAAGAACCUGUCAACCUCUGCUUUAAGUAUACUGAAUGUCUUGGCCUCCACAGUUAUCUGUGGUAAUGAAUUCCAGAUUCUCCACCCUCCGGGUGACGCACCUUCAAUAACUUCAAAAGACUGAAGUAGGGUAAAUACUGAAAGGCUUUUAUUCGCAGUAAAAUACGACUUCCAUGCUGAGUGUCUGCCCCUGGACUGAGGGGGAGGG